This 215-nucleotide ribosomal RNA is filed under the name uncultured bacterium. RNAcentral describes it as "partial 16S ribosomal RNA". It matches the Rfam family "Bacterial small subunit ribosomal RNA", at positions 1286 to 1500 of the family's 1533-position model. The record is from RNAcentral.
UCCCAGUUCGGAUUGUAGUCUGNAACCCGACUACAUGAAGCUGGAAUCGCUAGUAAUCGCGGAUCAGAAUGCCGCGGUGAAUACGUUCCCGGGUCUUGUACACACCGCCCGUCACACCAUGGGAGCCGGGAAUGCCCGAAGUCGGUGACCUAACCUUUAAGGGGGAGCCGCCGAAGGCAGGUCUGGUAACUGGGGUGAAGUCGUAACAAGGUAGC